CCUACGGGUGGCAGCAGUGGGGAAUAUUGGACAAUGGGGGGAACCCUGAUCCAGCGACGCCGCGUGAGUGAAGAAGUAUUUCGGUAUGUAAAGCUCUAUCAGCAGGGAAGAAAGAAAUGACGGUACCUGACUAAGAAGCCCCGGCUAACUACGUGCCAGCAGCCGCGGUAAUACGUAGGUGGCAAGCGUUAUCCGGAUUUACUGGGUGUAAAGGGAGCGUAGACGGCGAUGCAAGUCUGAAGUGAAAGGCGGGGGCCCAACCCCCGGACUGCUUUGGACACUGUAUGGCUUGAGUGCAGGGGAGGUAAGUGGAAUUCCUAGUGUAGCGGUGAAAUGCGUAGAUAUUAGGAGGAACACCAGUGGCGAAGGCGGCUUACUGGACUGUAACUGACGUUGAGGCUCGAAAGCGUGGGGAGCAAACAGGAUUAGAUACCCCUGUAGUC
Molecule: ribosomal RNA, 443 nt
Filed under: uncultured bacterium
Lineage: Bacteria
Description: partial 16S ribosomal RNA
Rfam family: Bacterial small subunit ribosomal RNA
Source: RNAcentral